AUUGGAAUGAUUUCAAGUGAUGGAGAGGAAGGGAUGGAUCUUUUUAAAAAGAAACGAAAGAAGACUUCAAGGUUUUCCAAAUCAUUUUUGGACCCAGAUGUUAAGCCAAAAGAAUACGUGAAUAAGGGUAUUAUGUCCCAGAGGGACUCAGUGGAAGCAAUGCUCCAGGUCCAGUCUGCUGUUGGGCAGCCUGCGAUGCAACUCCUCCAUCAAGUACUCAGAUGCAUCUUGCAAGAGCCUGUCUGAACAUCUGCUUGUCCAGGAGGAUUGGUGUUUGUUAUGGGGACCAGGAAUUAGUGUCAGAAUAGCUUUAUCUACAAAGAUAUGUAUGUUGUUACUUUAUUUUUGGUUUUAAUAUGAAACAUUGGUAUGACUUUGAGCUUCCAUCUAUUCACAGAAUGACACAAGUAAACUAUGAAUUAGAUUUUUUUAAAAAAAGGUUCAAGUUGUAAAAUUACAUGCCUGUAAUUUUUUAAUUAAGUUGAUGGGUAGUUCAAAGUAAAUUUUUUAUCAAAAUGUAUAUAUGUCACCAUAUACUAUUCUGACAGUAAUUUUUUGUGGGCAUUCAUAAUAAGUACAAAAACAAAAAAGUGAAG
This is a long non-coding RNA of Mobula hypostoma (lesser devil ray), 596 nucleotides long. RefSeq lists it as uncharacterized. NCBI's taxonomy places the organism in Eukaryota, Metazoa, Chordata, Chondrichthyes, Myliobatiformes, Myliobatidae. The transcript is spliced from 3 exons. The record is from RefSeq and is a predicted model, not a curated record.